AGCCACUUCUUUCAGAGGCUCGGGUUGCCGAUAUCCCCCUUAGAAACCUGGGAGGUGUUUUUGAUUUUGUAAUCGACUCGCACGACUCCAUGAACGACUCCCGAAGUGCGAGUCCUACCCCGUCACUCAGCAACAGCUCAAUAUCAGGCCGUCAGCUGUGCAACGGUAUCACAAAAACAGGGAAGGUCUGUAAGAAGCGAGCCGUGCCAGGACAGGACUACUGCAGAGUCCAUGAGGGGGGGCUCACCUCCUAUGUUGCUAAAUGAGCACUGCAUUUUCUUUAGACUACAGAUGUUUUAAAUGCUUUAAAGUUUAACUGUUAAUUUUAUAUGUAAACAUAAUGUCAUAACCCAUGGAUCUGUCUGUAUUCAAAUAGAGCAACUUUUUUGAUAGUGCCUUCUCUAAAAAAGUUUUAUCAACUCUUAUUGUGAUGUUAUUG
Long non-coding RNA from Etheostoma cragini (Arkansas darter), 439 nucleotides. RefSeq lists it as uncharacterized. The record is from RefSeq and is a predicted model, not a curated record. NCBI's taxonomy places the organism in Eukaryota, Metazoa, Chordata, Actinopteri, Perciformes, Percidae. The transcript has 3 exons.